AUUGAACGCUGGCGGCAGGCUUAACACAUGCAAGUCGAGCGAGCGGCGGACGGGCGACCAAUGCCUGGGAAACUGCCUGAUGGAGGGCGAUAAGUACUGGAAACUGUAGCUAAUACCGCAUAGCUCCAGAUGUGUCCAGGUGGGAAUAGCUAGUAGGUGGGGUAAUGGCUCACCUCGGCGACGACCCCUAGUUGGUCUGAGAGGAUGACCAGCCACACUGGAACUGAGACACGGUCCAGAAUCCGACGGGAGGCAGCAGUGGGGAAUAUUGCACAAUGGGCGCAAGCCUGAUGCAGCCAUGCCGCGUGUGUGAAGAAGGCCUUCGGGGUGUAAAGCACUUUAAGUGAGGAGGCGUUACUCGCAGAAGAAGCACCGGCUAACUCCGUGCCAGCAGCCGCGGUAAUUC
This 406-nucleotide ribosomal RNA is filed under the name uncultured bacterium. RNAcentral describes it as "partial 16S ribosomal RNA". It matches the Rfam family "Bacterial small subunit ribosomal RNA", at positions 30 to 526 of the family's 1533-position model. The record is from RNAcentral.